Molecule: small nuclear RNA, 23 nt
Filed under: Arabidopsis thaliana (thale cress)
Lineage: Eukaryota; Viridiplantae; Streptophyta; Magnoliopsida; Brassicales; Brassicaceae
Description: snRNA_11658
Source: RNAcentral
AACUGGCUUGUGGCAGCCAAGCG